This 109-nucleotide microRNA precursor is filed under the name Nomascus leucogenys (northern white-cheeked gibbon). RNAcentral's name for it is "miRNA (ENSNLEG00000033874.1)". The record is from RNAcentral. Lineage: Eukaryota; Metazoa; Chordata; Mammalia; Primates; Hylobatidae.
UUGAAGAAUAUGUCUGGUUGAUCCAGUCCACUUAAUUCUGAGAAAGUCCACAGAUUGGAUCGGGUCUUGGAUUUUAGCUGGAUUCAUUGACUGGGUUAUAUUUGUCAUA